CCUUCAUCACCAUCACACAUCUCUACCUUAUCCCACACACUUCUCUCUCUCUCUUUCUCUCUCUCUUAGGAUAACCAUUUUCCAGAUCUUAAACAAAAAUUCUUCUUCUUAUCAAAAUCCUUCAUAAUCAACCACCAUAACUCCAAAUGCUCCGAACAAAAAAGAUACUCCGAAUUAAAAAAAAAAAACUCCAAAUGCUCCGGUUGAAGAUGCGCCGGGAAGAUGCAACCAGAUCCAAAAGAUGCUCCAGAUCCGGUUGAAUAUGUUCGAUAUUGAAGAUGAUGUUUUUCAGAUGACGGUUCAAUGUUGAAGAUAAUCCAAAAGAUGUUGAAGAUGUUCCAGAUCUAAAAGAUCCCCCAGAUCAAUAAAGUGACGUGAAGCAUGGUGUGGUUCAUAUGACGGUUCGAUGUUUUAGAUCUGAAGCAUUUAGUUCUUGUUUUCUGGAUAUGUUGUUUUUUAUUACUGAUUUUUUCAUUUUUUUUGUGUAAAAUUUGUUUUCAGAUAUGAAACAAUUUGAUUUAAGUUCUUAUGUAUUGGAUUCUUGUUAAUGAAGUUAUAUUUUUUAUGUA
This is a long non-coding RNA of Helianthus annuus (common sunflower), 569 nucleotides long. RefSeq lists it as uncharacterized. The record is from RefSeq and is a predicted model, not a curated record. NCBI's taxonomy places the organism in Eukaryota, Viridiplantae, Streptophyta, Magnoliopsida, Asterales, Asteraceae. The transcript is spliced from 2 exons.